Molecule: ribosomal RNA, 449 nt
Filed under: uncultured bacterium
Lineage: Bacteria
Description: bacterial SSU rRNA
Rfam family: Bacterial small subunit ribosomal RNA
Source: RNAcentral
UCGAGAAUCUUUCGCAAUGGGCGAAAGCCUGACGAAGCGACGCCGUGUGUGUGAUGAAGGCCUUCGGGUCGUAAAGCACUUUCGCCUGGGAACAAGAAAUUCCGGCUAAUAUCCGGAAAAUUUGAGAGUAUCAGGUAAAGAAGCACCGGCUAACUACGUGCCAGCAGCUGCGGUAAUACGUAGGGUGCAAGCAUUAAUCGGAUUUAUUGGGCGUAAAGGGCGCGUAGGCGGAAAUGCAAGUCAACUGUGAAAUCCCGGGGCUCAACCCCGGAACUGCAUUUGAAACUACAUCCCUAGAGGGUAGGCGGAGAAAACGGAAUUCCACAAGUAGCGGUGAAAUGCGUAGAUAUGUGGAAGAACACCAGUGGCGAAGGCGGUUUUCUAGCUUAUACCUGACGCUGAGGCGCGAAAGCAAGGGGAGCAAACAGGAUUAGAUACCCGCGUAGUCC